Molecule: ribosomal RNA, 254 nt
Filed under: uncultured bacterium
Lineage: Bacteria
Description: partial 16S ribosomal RNA
Rfam family: Bacterial small subunit ribosomal RNA
Source: RNAcentral
UACGGAGGAUCCAAGCGUUAUCCGGAAUUACUGGGCGUAAAGAGUUGCGUAGGUGGCAUGGUAAGUUGAUAGUGAAAGCGUGCGGCUCAACCGCAUACACAUUAUCAAAACUGCCAAGCUAGAGGAUGAGAGAGGUUAUUGGAAUUCCUAGUGUAGGAGUGAAAUCCGUAGAUAUUAGGAGGAACACCGAUGGCGUAGGCAGAUAACUGGCUCGUUCCUGACACUAAGGCACGAAAGCGUGGGGAGCAAACGGG